UACAGCCAUAUCACGUUGAAACACUGGUUCUCGUACGAUCAUCGAAGCAACGUUGAGCCUGGUUAGUAUCUAGAUGGGUGACCGUCUGAGAAUACCUGAUGCUGCAA
This is a non-coding RNA of Acanthosepion pharaonis, 107 nucleotides long. NCBI's taxonomy places the organism in Eukaryota, Metazoa, Mollusca, Cephalopoda, Sepiida, Sepiidae. The record is from the annotation of a GenBank genome assembly.